CACAUCUGGACAUCACUCAACUCUGUCACACAUGUGCAGAUCAGGGCCUACCUUUAUCGUACAUAGUGCUGAUUUCUGCUGCUGCUGGAGCUCUGUUGAUUGUAGCUGCAGUCAUGUGGUACUGCUUCUGCUGGAAACGUAGAAAAAGAGUCAUAAUCAACGAGAUAUACGAAAAUGAUUCAACACUGCCUAAACCAAAACCACGAAAAACGAAAUCAAAGGAGCCUGUUUAUGGAAAUACUGGCAGAAAUAAUCAGCAAUGAUCAAAUAUAUUUUAGAGCUCAUACGGACCCCCGACUCACACAUUUUAGUUCACAUCUAAUCUCUGCCAGGAUGUUUUUUCCGUCUAUCUCUGUUUUGUUUACAUUAAGAUUUCAUCUGUUUUUUACUCUCUCUUCAUGUCUGAAAUGUUGUUGCUCUGUUUUAGUUUAAUUGUGUGGUUAUCAUAGCAUCAGAAACUCAUGUAAAUGUUCUAUUUUUUAGCUAAUCGCAUGGAAAUGUAUAACUAUUAAAAUUGGUCUCACCCUU
This is a long non-coding RNA of Sinocyclocheilus rhinocerous, 528 nucleotides long. RefSeq lists it as uncharacterized. Lineage: Eukaryota; Metazoa; Chordata; Actinopteri; Cypriniformes; Cyprinidae. The record is from RefSeq and is a predicted model, not a curated record. The transcript has 4 exons.